Molecule: ribosomal RNA, 458 nt
Filed under: bacterium Fw70-66
Lineage: Bacteria
Also listed under: 3 other names
Description: bacterial SSU rRNA
Rfam family: Bacterial small subunit ribosomal RNA
Source: RNAcentral
AUUGAACGCUGGCGGCAUGCCUUACACAUGCAAGUCGAACGGCAGCACGGGUGCUUGCACCUGGUGGCGAGUGGCGAACGGGUGAGUAAUAUAUCGGAACGUGCCCUAGAGUGGGGGAUAACGUAGCGAAAGUUACGCUAAUACCGCAUACGAUCUACGGAUGAAAGUGGGGGAUCGCAAGACCUCAUGCUCAUGGAGCGGCCGAUAUCUGAUUAGCUAGUUGGUGGGGUAAAAGCCUACCAAGGCGACGAUCAGUAGCUGGUCUGAGAGGACGACCAGCCACACUGGGACUGAGACACGGCCCAGACUCCUACGGGAGGCAGCAGUGGGGAAUUUUGGACAAUGGGGGCAACCCUGAUCCAGCAAUGCCGCGUGUGUGAAGAAGGCCUUCGGGUUGUAAAGCACUUUUGUCAGGAACGAAACGGUGGAGGCUAAUACCUUCUGCUAAUGACGGUACC